RNAcentral lists this ribosomal RNA (394 nucleotides) under uncultured Enterobacteriaceae bacterium. RNAcentral describes it as "bacterial SSU rRNA". It matches the Rfam family "Bacterial small subunit ribosomal RNA", at positions 305 to 690 of the family's 1533-position model. The record is from RNAcentral. Lineage: Bacteria; Pseudomonadati; Pseudomonadota; Gammaproteobacteria; Enterobacterales; Enterobacteriaceae. RNAcentral also lists the same sequence under 1 other name.
CAGCCACACUGGAACUGAGACACGGUCCAGACUCCUACGGGAGGCAGCAGUGGGGAAUAUUGCACAAUGGGCGCAAAGCCUGAUGCAGCCAUGCCGCGUGUAUGAAGAAGGCCUUCGGGUUGUAAAGUACUUUCAGCCGGGAGGAAGGGAGUAAAGUUAAUACCUUUGCUCAUUGACGUUACCCGCAGAAGAAGCACCGGCUAACUCCGUGCCAGCAGCCGCGGUAAUACGGAGGGUGCAAGCGUUAAUCGGAAUUACUGGGCGUAAAGCGCACGCAGGCGGUUUGUUAAGUCAGAUGUGAAAUCCCCGGGCUCAACCUGGGAACUGCAUCUGAUACUGGCAAGCUUGAGUCUCGUAGAGGGGGGUAGAAUUCCAGGUGUAGCGGUGAAAUGCG